This is a non-coding RNA of Brassica napus (rape), 179 nucleotides long. NCBI's taxonomy places the organism in Eukaryota, Viridiplantae, Streptophyta, Magnoliopsida, Brassicales, Brassicaceae. The record is from Rfam.
GGAAGUUAAGAAACUGUUUUUUAACUUUUAACUAAAAAAGUUAAGAACCGGUUCUUAAAUAAGGACUUUAAAAACCGGUUCUUAAAUAAGGACUUUAAGAACCGGUUCUUAAAUAAGGUAUUUAAGAACCGGUUCUUAACUUUUUUAGCUAAAAGUUAAGAAACAGUUUUUUAACUUCC